This 335-nucleotide long non-coding RNA is filed under the name Callithrix jacchus (white-tufted-ear marmoset). RNAcentral's name for it is "lncRNA (ENSCJAG00000075579.1)". The record is from RNAcentral. Lineage: Eukaryota; Metazoa; Chordata; Mammalia; Primates; Cebidae.
GAUUUGUGAGACAUGGAGGCUAUUUUUAGAAGCCCUGGGGUCCUGUCUGGUACACAAGAAGCCUCAGGAGGAUGCAUUUGGCAGACUGGUGGAGGUCUUGGACAAGAUCUGGAAGAAUUAUCUGGAUUACCAGAUUCUGUAUCCUCAGUUCCUUAGCUGAAUGGUUGACACAGUUGAAGCAGUCAAUAACAUUUGAUGAAUAAAUGAAUGGAUACAUGAAAUACUGAAUGAAUGAGUAGAAGAUAGAGAGGAGAAUUAAGUCUUAUUUUACUAUGUGGAGUUUGGAAGGGAAAACAAACAUUUCUUAGGAAAUGCCAAUAAUCACCUAUAUUUAA